This 172-nucleotide ribosomal RNA is filed under the name uncultured bacterium. RNAcentral's name for it is "partial 16S ribosomal RNA". It matches the Rfam family "Bacterial small subunit ribosomal RNA", at positions 1329 to 1500 of the family's 1533-position model. The record is from RNAcentral.
GAAUUGCUAGUAAUGGCAGGUCAGCAUACUGCCGUGAAUACGUUCCCGGGCCUUGUACACACCGCCCGUCACACCAUGAGAGUUGGAGAUACCCGAAGCCUGUGAGCUAACAGAAAUGGAGCAGCAGUCGAAGGUAGAAUCAAUGAUUGGGGUGAAGUCGUAACAAGGUAAC